AGGGAUGUAGCUCAGUGGCAGAGCACCUGCCUGGCAAGCACAAGGUCCUGAGUUCUAUCCCUG
Molecule: transfer RNA, 63 nt
Filed under: Heterocephalus glaber (naked mole-rat)
Lineage: Eukaryota; Metazoa; Chordata; Mammalia; Rodentia; Bathyergidae
Rfam family: tRNA
About the family: Transfer RNA (tRNA) molecules are approximately 80 nucleotides in length.
Source: Rfam by way of RNAcentral